Molecule: long non-coding RNA, 443 nt
Filed under: Phasianus colchicus (ring-necked pheasant)
Lineage: Eukaryota; Metazoa; Chordata; Aves; Galliformes; Phasianidae
Description: lncRNA (ENSPCLG00000002467.1)
Source: RNAcentral
UUCUUUUAAACAUUACUUGUUUAAAUUGUUACAUUAGUGCAGAAUUUGAAUGGAAUACUGCAUUGUGGAUGAAGGUGACUAUACUGUAACUGAUGACACAACCCUAGCUGAAACCUUUUAAAUGCUGAACAUGGUAGAGGAUCAUUUCAGUCAAGCUGUGGCUUCUCCAUGAAGAAUUUCAACACUUUAGAUGGUACUUUUGGUGGAAAAGGUACCAUCUGCUGGCAGCAUUCUGACAGAUUGAUACACGAAAAAGGGAAUGAUAAUCAGUUGAAGAAGCAAUAACAAAAAGAUACUCUUCCACAUGUAAAACAUUGGUUUCAGGUUUCACAAUGAAGAAAUAUCACUGACACAUGUUGGCACAUUAAACAUAUAAGACAACUUCACUAAAAGGUGUGAAGUAUCCUUCCUUACGUAUGACAAAAAUUCAGACUUGUUCUAAG